GGGCCUCAGACAGAAUACUAUGGUUUGUGCUAAAGACUCUUGAACUGCAAUUAUAGGUCUCAUUUCAGUUUUAGUAAUGGCAAGAUAGCUGGAAGUGUGGACCAAUUAUGGGCUUCAAUUAUUUCAUCUGUGGACUUGUUUAGUUUCUCACUCUUGAAAUUGAAGAACCUUGUUAAUUUGAAGCUUCAUGCUUCUUGCUUAGUUCUUUAUAGUGACCAUUCUGGGACUUCAAAUGUUUAGCACUGAUAAUGGUUUUCUGACAUAUUGACUGGGAAGGUAAGAGCAAAUUUUGCAUGAAAUCAAAAUGGUGAACAAAAUUUAAGGGGAGGGAAAAGCGAGUUCUAUGUUUUUUUGUGGAAUUAUUGCACAUAAUUGAAUUCUCAUUCAUGAUUAUGUUUGCUAUUACUUACAUAAAAAAAUAGUGAAUGAAUUGGCACAAUGGAUAUCUUAGCGUAAGCAUUGUUAAAAGAUGCUUUUUCUUUUCUUUUCUUUUCUUUUUCUUUAUGUUUUGCAACUAAAUUUUAUGUUUGGGAAUUUUCUUCCAAUUUUCUACAAUUUUGAAGAGUUUUCCUAUUGAAUUUGCCAUUUUUUUUUUGUUUUUUUUCCUUCUCUGUAAAUUAAUGGAGAUUAGCUGUUGGGAUUCUGAAUUUUUAUUUUCCUUUUUUAUAAACGAAUUCAAUGGUUGUUACAGUUUGGAUGAAUGUUGGAGAGCAAAUUUCGUUCUUUGAUAGCUAUAAAAAAUUAUAUUUGUAAGUUUUAAUUUAAUGAUAUUACAGUCGUUUGGAACAGGGAUUGCACAUCUGCUAUUACAAUUAGAACCAACUGGGCCUGACUUUCUCCGGCCCACGAACAUUAACAGUUUGAUUUCUAUUUCCAAGAAGCUUUGCUUGGUUCUCCACGCUGGAUAAGGCACGAAAUCACAGUCAGGCCAAUGCUCUAAACUUCUCCUGUAAGUACUGCUAUUUCGCGUCUCAGGAAUCUAAAGAGUUCUAAAGGUUGAAGAAAGAAAGAUAUAGAGAGUUCUGAAAUCUCCGCCACCACGAAAGCCGGAUAAGAAAUUUGGUAAAAAGAGGAAAGCUAGUAAACUAACCAUAGCGGAAAAGCAAGUUCACAUUGGCUCUCUCUUUCUUUAAUGGGGAAGAUUCUCCCUUCCGCUGGGAAACUCAAAGAACUCAACAAAAUAGUCUCUUCCCACAAGCCUCAACGCUCAAAAGCAGUGCCUAUCAUUCCCUUCAUGCCAAGACAGGUCCGUUUUGACUUCGAGCCACUCAAGUUGAGAAAGAUGGAGAAUAGCUUGCUCUCCCUUGAUGGCCAGAAUCGAGUGCCACUUUCUCAGGUUGUCUCUGAGUGCACGAAACGGUGGUUUCAAGACACACUCAAGGAGGCCAAAGCUGGUGAUAUUGCCAUGCAAGUUCUUGUGGGUCAGAUGUAUUAUAAUGGCUAUGGUGUUUCUAAAAACGUCCAAAAGGUUCAAUUUUUAAUCCUUUGUUGUUUCAUUUAUCUUUUUUUUUUUUUCUCAUUAAAAUGUUGGCUUUAGGAUUCUGGGUUUGGUCUGUUUUGUUGGGUUUUUCAUGUAUUUAUCAUUGCAUUGAGUUGGGUUACAAGACACGCAUGGCUUUUCCAUUUCAAGGUUUAUUAAGACAGCAAGAUUGGAGAUUUGGAAUGAUUAUGUUUUGUUUAUAGAGGAGAGAAAGCAAGGUUCAAUUUAAGCCAGAUAGUGUUUGGCUCUUAAGUUUUUUUGUUUUUUUGUUUUGGUUUCUAAUUCUGUGUAUGUAGCAUCUAGCAUGUUAGGUUUUGUAUUUCUACUUGGUUGCUGCCUAAAUUGGGAAGAAAAAGGAUUUAUUAGAUCUUUCAAUGGUUGCAUGGUCAAUAUUGCAUUUUCUUCCCUAGAUAAAUGAAGACUAAUGACUCAAGGUUGUUUAAUACUUGUAUUGAGGAUGGAAUUUCUGUUAAUUUAAUCGCACAUAAAAGAACUCUACAAUAACAAAAAUUUGGGUUUACUGGAAUUACAGAGAACUCACUGGAAUCCUAUUGAAUAUUAGGAUUUUCAUUGUUUCUGUUGGCAAUUAGAACAAAACUUACCCAUUUCCUUAUGUCGAUUAAUCUUCUAUUUCCUUGAUCUUAACAAAUAAAGGUGUGAGAAAUAUUACAGCUUUCUUAAUUGGUAUAUAUUAUAGAAGUUUUGUUAUAUUCCUAUCUUUUUCAAGACUAAAAGGAAGCAUUAGUUAAUAACUUAAUAUGUUUUCAUCUUGACAAAUCAGCAGUAUUUUAGUGGAUGAUAAAUUAGCAUUGUGUAUACUCAGGUUUAAUCAUCCUUAGCAUUGUACUACAUUAUAUUUUUGGGUAGUGAACUCUGUUCUUUUUCUUGUGUUUAAGGGCCAUGAUUGGAUUAAUAAAGCUUCCAAGAGUCGAGCUUCAGCGUGGAAAGUGAGUGAUAAACGUCCAGGUAUGUGCACUCUCCUUCUGUUGGUUAGAUCCUUGAUUAUUUUUCCAUUUUUUUAAAUUGAGUUUUAUGUUGUUUCCCUAGUUUAUAAUGCAAGUGACUCAGAUUC
RNAcentral lists this unclassified non-coding RNA (2552 nucleotides) under Hevea brasiliensis (rubber tree). Lineage: Eukaryota; Viridiplantae; Streptophyta; Magnoliopsida; Malpighiales; Euphorbiaceae. The record is from RNAcentral.